Molecule: ribosomal RNA, 253 nt
Filed under: uncultured bacterium
Lineage: Bacteria
Description: partial 16S ribosomal RNA
Rfam family: Bacterial small subunit ribosomal RNA
Source: RNAcentral
UACAGAGGGGGCAAGCGUUGUUCGGAAUUACUGGGCGUAAAGGGUUCGUAGGUGGCCAACUAAGUCAGACGUGAAAUCCCUCAGCUUAACUGGGGAACUGCGUCUGAUACUGAUUGGCUUGAGUGCAGGAGAGGAACGCGGAAUUCCAGGUGUAGCGGUGAAAUGCGUAGAUAUCUGGAGGAACACCGGUGGCGAAGGCGGCGUUCUGGACUGCAACUGACACUGAGGAACGAAAGCCAGGGGAGCAAACGGG